Molecule: small nucleolar RNA, 132 nt
Filed under: Amphilophus citrinellus (Midas cichlid)
Lineage: Eukaryota; Metazoa; Chordata; Actinopteri; Cichliformes; Cichlidae
Description: Small nucleolar RNA SNORA13 (ENSACIG00000008623.1)
Source: RNAcentral
UGCCUUUGUGUUGCCCUCUCACUGUAUCCUUCAUGAACAGGGUGUCAACUAAGGCAUACAGUAACUCUUGUGGCUGUGAGAGAAAUUCAUCAUCACUGAUUAAUUUCUACACAAUUAGCUGCGAGCACAACA